CCUUGCGGCCGUAGUCCCCAGGCGGAGUGCUUAAUGCGUUUGCUGCAGCACUAAAGGGCGGAAACCCUCUAACACUUAGCACUCAUCGUUUACGGCGUGGACUACCAGGGUAUCUAAUCCUGUUUGCUCCCCACGCUUUCGCGCCUCAGCGUCAGUUACAGACCAAAGAGUCGCCUUCGCCACUGGUGUUCCUCCACAUCUCUACGCAUUUCACCGCUACACGUGGAAUUCCACUCUUCUCUUCUGCACUCAAGUUCCCCAGUUUCCAAUGACCCUCCACGGUUGAGCCGUGGGCUUUCACAUCAGACUUAAGGAACCGCCUGCGCGCGCUUUACGCCCAAUAAUUCCGGACAACGCUUGCCACCUACGUAUUACCGCGGCUGCUGGCACGUAGUUAGCCGUGGCUUUCUGGUUAGGUACCGUCAAGGUACCGGCAGUUACUCCGGUACUUGUUCUUCCCUAACAACAGAGUUUUACGAUCCGAAAACCUUCAUCACUCACGCGGCGUUGCUCCGUCAGACUUUCGUCCAUUGCGGAAGAUUCCCUACUGCUGCCUCCCGUAGAGUCUGGGCCGUGUCUCAGUCCCAGUGUGGCCGAUCACCCUCUCAGGUCGGCUACGCAUCGUUGCCUUGGUGAGCCGUUACCUCACCAACUAGCUAAUGCGCCGCGGGCCCAUCUGUAAGUGAUAGCCGAAACCAUCU
This 701-nucleotide ribosomal RNA is filed under the name Bacillus sp. G550VIII. Its description in RNAcentral is "partial 16S ribosomal RNA". Lineage: Bacteria; Bacillati; Bacillota; Bacilli; Caryophanales; Bacillaceae. The record is from RNAcentral.